CUCUGAUUCUAUAUAUAAAGGAAAGGGGGACCGCUUGAUCAACCGAUCUGUACAUCGAUUGGUGCUGCUUCUUCCUGUUGAGGAUCAAGGAAUGUAAUUUGCUGGGGGGAGUGUACUGAGAAUAACUCAGUAUCCCUACAUGGAAAGGUUUUCUUAGAUGGGGAAUUAUAAACCUAUUGAGAAAUAUUGUGUCAAUUACUUUUGUAUGUAGUCAUGUAUAUUAUAUUACGUGUUGUAAGAAUUAAAUUAAGGCAUACAAUGUAUUUCUAGGGUUAUUUAUGUUUUGUUAAUUAAGUGAGCGUUUCAUGGUUGUGGGUGAUGAGGUGGCAGGGACGCUACGUGGCAGGUGCUCACGCAGGCUCGGUCAGUUCCUAGUCGGUGAGGGGUGUGAUUAGUCGACGGACUGCGUUGGCUGGGGGUGUUACGUGAUUGUGUCGGAAGUAUCCUGUCGUUAGCUGGGUUGUGCUUGUGCCCCUGCUUGUGCACAAGUAGACGCGAGUUGAUCGAGUGGUGUGAAGGAUUGUGACGAAUGUACCCUGCCAGUAGACAGAUGUCUUCAUGUCUUCAUUUGGAUGGUGCUUUGGGUACUUAACGUGUGGGAUCCGAGGUGUUGUAACAUAGCAGUAACCAGGACGCUAGGAAGGGAGGCACUGUGUUGGACCCAAUAAAGGUGUUUACUGCCAGUGUUAUCUGAUUGGCGCCUGGUGAAACAAUAACGAUUAGAUU
Molecule: long non-coding RNA, 726 nt
Organism: Portunus trituberculatus (swimming crab)
Lineage: Eukaryota; Metazoa; Arthropoda; Malacostraca; Decapoda; Portunidae
Exons: 4
Source: RefSeq, a predicted model, not a curated record